Molecule: ribosomal RNA, 321 nt
Filed under: uncultured eukaryote
Lineage: Eukaryota
Description: partial 18S ribosomal RNA
Rfam family: Eukaryotic small subunit ribosomal RNA
Source: RNAcentral
CCCUUAGACGUUCUGGGCCGCACGCGCGCUACACUGACCAGUACAACAAGCAUCCGUCCUUGGCCGACAGGCUCGGGCAAUCUUUGAACGCUGGUCGUGAUGGGGAUAGACCUUUGCAAUUAUGGGUCUUCAACGAGGAAUUCCUAGUAAACGCAAGUCAUCAGCUUGCAUUGAUUACGUCCCUGCCCUUUGUACACACCGCCCGUCGCACCUACCGAUUGAAUGGUCCGGUGAAAUCUCGGGACGGCGGCUUGGUCGCUUGCGUCCGACUGCUGAAACUUGAUUAAACCAUAUCAUUUAGAGGAAGGUGAAGUCGUAACA